Molecule: ribosomal RNA, 543 nt
Filed under: uncultured bacterium
Lineage: Bacteria
Description: bacterial SSU rRNA
Rfam family: Bacterial small subunit ribosomal RNA
Source: RNAcentral
GCCUAACACAUGCAAGUCGAGCGGCAGCACAAGUAAGUUUACUUAUGAGGUGGCGAGCGGCGGACGGGUGAGUAAUGCCUAGGGAUCUGCCCAGUCGAGGGGGAUAACAGUUGGAAACGACUGCUAAUACCGCAUACGCCCUACGNGGGGAAAGGAGGGGACCUUCGGGCCUUCCGCGAUUGGAUGAACCUAGGUGGGAUUAGCUAGUUGGUGAGGUAAUGGCUCACCAAGGCGACGAUCCCUAGCUGUUCUGAGAGGAUGAUCAGCCACACUGGGACUGAGACACGGCCCAGACUCCUACGGGAGGCAGCAGUGGGGAAUAUUGCUGCAAUGGGGGAAACCCUGAUGCAGCCAUGCCGCGUGUGUGGAGAAGGCCUUCGGGUUGUAAAGCACUUUCAGUAGGGAGGAAAGGGUGAGUCUUAAUACGGCUCAUCUGUGACGUUACCUACAGAACAGAAGGACCGGGCUAACUCCGUGCCAGCAGCCGCGGUAAUACGGAGGGUCCGAAGCCGUUAAUCGGAAUUCCUGGGGCGUAAAGCGUGC